Molecule: ribosomal RNA, 219 nt
Filed under: uncultured bacterium
Lineage: Bacteria
Description: partial 16S ribosomal RNA
Rfam family: Bacterial small subunit ribosomal RNA
Source: RNAcentral
GAUCCUGGCUCAGGAUGAACGCUAGCUACAGGCUUAACACAUGCAAGUCGAGGGGCAGCAUGGUCUUAGCUUGCUAAGACUGAUGGCGACCGGCGCACGGGUGAGCAACACGUAUCCAACCUGCCGUCUACUCUUGGACAGCCUUCUGAAAGGAAGAUUAAUACAAGAUGACAUCAUGAGUCCGCAUGUUCACAUGAUUAAAGGUAUUCCGGUAGACGA